Beta vulgaris subsp. vulgaris (sugar beet) is the source of this 236-nucleotide long non-coding RNA. RefSeq lists it as uncharacterized. Lineage: Eukaryota; Viridiplantae; Streptophyta; Magnoliopsida; Caryophyllales; Amaranthaceae. The record is from RefSeq and is a predicted model, not a curated record. The transcript has 3 exons.
UAGCAGGCAACCUACUACUGAACCAGAAACAACUCCACCUAGUACUGACAUUCCUCCUUCGACUGAGAAAGAACAUACUCCUAAUGAUUCAAGCACCACCAGAACAACUGAUAGAACGCCUGUUCUUGAGAGUGAGGCCAUUCCACUCAAUACUGAGAUGUAAGUGCAUGUACAUUAUUUGUUUGUUCUUAAUUACAUACAUUAUUAAGGCCAUUCCAACCAUUGUACAUUUUUAC